This 31-nucleotide non-coding RNA is filed under the name Homo sapiens (human). Lineage: Eukaryota; Metazoa; Chordata; Mammalia; Primates; Hominidae. The record is from RNAcentral.
GUUGGGCAUAGUGAGCCUUCUGCUGGCUGUC